Molecule: unclassified non-coding RNA, 292 nt
Filed under: fungal sp.
Lineage: Eukaryota; Fungi
Description: partial internal transcribed spacer region
Rfam family: Eukaryotic small subunit ribosomal RNA (bases 1-46)
Source: RNAcentral
AAGUCGUAACAAGGUUUCCGUAGGUGAACCUGCGGAAGGAUCAUUACCAAAUCCAAAUUACCUAACCCCGUGUGAACUAUUGUUUUAGUCUGUCUUUGGGGAAAAAAUACUUUUGGAAAAUGGCAUUUUGAUUACAAAAUGUUUAUUUUUUAUUGGUAUUUUUUUCCCAAAAGAAUUCAGCCUGUUUGGAUUCUUUAAACCCUUUAUUUAAACCACUUGACUUAUUGUUGGAAUUUUCUUUUAUAAUUUUAAAUUAAAAGACAACUUUUAACGGUGGAUCUCUUGGCUCGUG